AAGUCGUAACAAGGUUUCCGUAGGUGAACCUGCGGAAGGAUCAUUAUCACGUAUCCACGUAUCAACCAUUGUGAACUGUACACCUUCAGAGAGAUUUGUAAGAUAAGUGAAGAAGAAGGAAUUUUUUUUUUUUUUUCUUCAUGAUUUCUCUCUGAAGCGUAAUAUCUUACACACAACCAAUUGAACCCGAAGAAUAGGAUAGAAAAAAAAUUUUUUUUUUCCUUCUUAUUUUUCAAUUCUUUGAAAUUUAGUACUGAUAUAUAUUUCUGGCUUUGAAAAGAGCAGAAAUUUUUUCUUUACGAAAAAAAAUUUUAUACAACUCUUAGCAACGGAUAUCUUGGUUCUC
This 346-nucleotide unclassified non-coding RNA is filed under the name fungal sp. Its description in RNAcentral is "partial internal transcribed spacer region". The stretch from base 1 to 46 matches the Rfam family "Eukaryotic small subunit ribosomal RNA", at positions 1786 to 1831 of the family's 1831-position model. The record is from RNAcentral. Lineage: Eukaryota; Fungi.